GCUGCGGGAAGGAUCAUU
Molecule: ribosomal RNA, 18 nt
Filed under: Sarcopilea domingensis
Lineage: Eukaryota; Viridiplantae; Streptophyta; Magnoliopsida; Rosales; Urticaceae
Description: partial 18S ribosomal RNA
Source: RNAcentral